UAUUCUGAAACAGACAGCACUAUUGUUAUCUGUUUCGAAUUACUUUUGCCAUAUAGUUAUGAAACACUGAAAAUGAUGCAAUCUGCAGAAAUACUGAGGCAUAUUAACAUUUUAAACUGCGGCCCUGAUAGGAACUAAUGGAGCAGCACAUGAAAGGAAAAAAUUCUCCCUCUCUUAAGCAAGUCAAAACCCACUUUUGGGCACUAAACGCAGGAGAUAAUAAAUUUGUCAGACAGAAAAAGAGAAUAAUUACAAUCUAAAUUGCUCUUUUCUUAAAAGAAAUCAGCUUUUUGGAAAGUGAUUUAAAAAUUCUGUUUCUGGCACUUGCACGGAUAGACAAAACAAACCCCUUUUUUUCCAAAACUAAAUAAGGCAAAGGAAAUCUGCACUCUAAUACUGCAAAGACUGUAAGAGGAGAGCAUCCAGUCUGGAUGGGAACGCACAUCCAUUGUGUCUGCCGGGCAGCGGGGCAGCACCCGCCCGAGCACAAACCCAGGCGGAUGCUCCAGCACGGGUUUUGAAGGCAGCUGCUGAGUGCCAGUGAGCAGCCACGCCACAGACUUUGGUAAAGAUUAAGCUAAAUAAUGCAUUUCUCAUUCUUGCAAGGGGAUUGCAAGACACAGAGGAGGGUUGAAAAACCCGCUCCUGCCCAGCCUGCCCAUUUGCAUCGCUGCAGUGAAAUUUUGGUCCAGGGCUGUAUCCCUGUGGGUGCAGCACGACCCACCUUUGCCCCACCAAGCAAUCUCGUUCUUGAAGCAAUCUGCUUCAUUGGGUAGCCUCUAAAGGACAGCUGUGAUUUUGGACUUGUCUGUGAGGAAGAAGAGGCAGGGAGAGAGAUGAGGAUGGUUACCUGCAAUCAGCCAUCACAUAGAUCCUCUCCAUGGCAAGUCCUGUGCUGCUAUAGCCCCCCCCCCAAAAAUGCUUGGGCAAAUCUGCAGCACCAAAACAAGUCUGAUUCUCCAACCUAGGCAGUUCUGACUCUCCUACAGCUUUCUCCUCUUAAAUCGUUCAGAUCUUCACACUAAGGUCUGGAGAGGGACAUCUCACCACACCAUACGUUGGGAGAACACAACCGAGCUGAAUCCUGUAUCCAAACAAACCAUCAUACAGCUGCAGCCUGUGUUCAAGCUCAAAGACAGAGCUGUCUAAUAAACAGUUUAAGAGCCACGAAGAAGGAAUGAGGAGGACUUGGAAAGCUGUCAGACAUAUGGAUACACAGAGCGCGUGGUUUGAGAAAAUACAAAAACACCUUGAGAGACCUUCAGCCAUUUCCUGACCUUCGCUUUUCUAAUAUUUCUCAGAGACUUGGUGCACAUUUCUCAGGAAUUUCUAUUGUGCAAACAACCUUCAGAAAAAUGCCGAGGCUUUUGUCUGCCACGGAGCAUGCCUGAACAUCCUUUCAGAGGAAGUAAACUGCCCAUCUUAUUGCUCCCAAAUGGUUACAGGAGAAGCACAUCCCACGCAUGAGAUUAGCAACCUCUCAGCUGAUCUGACAUCAGUUUCAAACAUAUAGUUCUGUCUUUACCAAAAAUAACUGCAAAUGGAGAUGUCUGGCUGGCUGAAGUGCUGUGGGAUCUUGGACAAUGCAACAGAUCUUUAUACAGGGUGUUACGAGCGUUGAGAGAAAUACCUCUCGCUGUCAAACCCUGGACAUUUUGUAUUUCCCUGUGAAUUUCAGCAUCCUGAAAACAAGGAAGGGAAAACACGAGUGGACAAGCGGGGAACCCCAAAAGGUUGUCAGGAAGCACAUGAAUUAUGACCUGCAGCUGCAAACCAGCCUCCCAAAACGAAGCCGUGCCCCUGCAGCCCUGCAAUGUCCCACUGGAGCAUGAGCCCUAGCGGUUGUCAGCAGUAAUGUCAAUCUCCUCUACUGCUUGCAUUAGUUCAGCUUCAAUUUUGCUUCAUGUUUUUCAGUUCUGGGUAACUAACGUGCGAACUGUACACUAUCACAAUGAGAAAUGAUCUUUGCUGCCACCCCAGCAGCCCAGUGCAUGGCCCACUAUCACCAAACUCACUCCAAAAUGAGAAUUUGUGGCUUAGGGGUUUAGUCCCUGGAAAUACCUACAAAAAGUCAGCUAAAAGAAAACAAAUACCAGAAAAUAGAGUUAUUACAGGAUUUGGUCCCAAUGGGGAACCCCCAGAUACAAAGACCCCUGCAGCUCUCAGCAGUGCUGGUCGUGAUGCAAGGCUCUGGGGAUUCCAGCCUCUGAAGCUCUGAAGGCAGGACUAUGAUUUCUGGAAUCUGGAAAGUCUUUAGGAUUCGGCCCUGGGAAGCCCACACGAUCCAUGUAUUGCCUGGGCUGGGUGCUCCAUGAAAAAGGAAGAGGUUAUCUGUUCUUUCAUCUUGUAACUCACAACCUGGUAGGGACAGCGGUGGGAAAGCAGAGCUCGGUAUGAAGGCACCCACCAUAUUUCCAGCACAAGCCCAGGAAAGAAUGUUAACCCUGCGGAAGAAACCUGUUUUACAAUUUUUUACCCCACUUUUAUCUCUCUGGUCUGAAGAUGGAUAUGCAGGGGUAAGGAGUCACCGGGUCCAUGAAGAAAAGCCUGCUCUGUUCAGACACCGUCAAAAGCACAGCUGCAGCAGCACAUCCUCGCCUCCACGUUGGGGUUAUUCCAAAGCAGAAGUCCAAAAUACAGCCCACAGUAGUAAAAACAACAAACUGGUGAUGGAAGGAGGUGCGCGGCAGCGAGGACCUCUCGUCUCAUCCCUGACACCCACCUGCUCCGGGGUCUUGACAAAGAAGUUGCUACUGCAAAUACUUUUCACAGCAUCUGCACUUGAAGGCAUCACCUCUUCUUCCGUGUGACUGAUGACAACUACAAGUAUUCUGCCAAAAUUCAAGUUUCCUUUCCUUGAAAGCUUUGGUGAGUUUGCUGCCCUGACAGUAAGGCCAGCUGUGGCUGGCUAUGGCCAGACAUGACACAAACGCACCGCUCCGUCUUUGGGGUUUCACACUCUGACUCUGCUCAGCCAAGCCCAGUUCCUUCCAUACCAGGGAAGUGCUUUCAUUUUAAGUAUCCUAUGCUUGGAUACCAGCACUUCUGUAUAGACCCAAGAUAUCCUAAUCAUCCACUUGCCAUCUAUUCCUGUUUCACAGCCCCAAGCUUAAAGCCCUCUCCAUCGCUGCUAAAUCACUCUGCACCACGGAGCACACGUAGACCACGCCUGUAGACGAGGCGGAAAGCAGCAGGAAAGACGUCGCCGACAAAGCCAGAGAGCAGUGAAUCUGCUUGACACAAGCAAGGACGCUGCAUGGAAAGACAAACAUUUGGUAUCACUGGGGCUUGUAUUUCAUCUGGUGUUUGAACAGCAGCCUGCGACACAGCCGAGCCACUCAGGGCCUCACCAAGACGUACACAUGAUACAAAGCAGUAACAGCAGAGACGCUGGAGGAAAAGAAUCUGAGAUUUCCACCUCUGCUUGAAAAGAAUAUGAGAGAAGAUGACCCACCAAAAAAGGGUGGGGGAAAAAAGACUGCAAACGAUAACAGACAGGGGAAUCUGUGCAACUACUGCAAAGCUAAUUGUGUUUUGAUUCCAUGUUUCCAUGGAAAGAGUUUUAACCGUGCUGGGUGAAAAGCCAAAUACGUUUUCAUAACGAUUCACACUGCAUGAAUGGAAAUACUUAACAGAAGGAGUAUUCUUUCUAAUCAGCACUCUAGCUUCGAAUACAAUUCUCUCUCCUUUGUCCUUUACCCUUUUCUUCUUCUUCGCACCAUUGUUUUCAACCUUUGCUGGAAGAUUAAAUCAAAAAUGCUGUGCCUGGGGAGUGCUGGGGACUGUAAACUUCCAUCUGUGGCCAAGAGCCCUGCUCAUCUCUCAGACUGCUGUUCCUUUCGCUGCACUGCUAGGUUUCGUCUUCUAAGAGGGAUCCUAACGACAGCAGAAAGCACGUGAGCCCAUACGAGCCUCCAGUAUAGCAGGCCAGCCAGCCUGGGCUGGCAGAUCAUUUAGAGCUUAUCGCUCGGUAGGACAUCCAGUUCUUGAUGGAAAACUUCAAACAAUGGAGCGCUCACUCUUUCCUACAGCAUGUUACUCAAGAAAUUAACUAUCUUCAGCCCUCAAAGCCUGCACUGUCGUUCCUACAGCCUCAACUUGCUUAGCCGCAUCUUCUAAGCCCACAUUGCACAUAUGGCUCCUCCAUCAGAGCAAAAUGUUGGAAGGAAUCCCUGUCCCAUGCAUAUGGUUAGUCCAAGGCCACCCAAACACUUGGGUUGAGGCAGUGGAAGAAGAACCACGGUGGCCUCCAGCAGCUCAGCCCCAGAGGUCCCCAGGGGCUUUCUCCCUCCACGUGUCACUUCUCGCUUCUUGCUGUCAUUCACCUCACAGGGGGCUUGCUGGAUUUGGCACAAACUACCACAGAAAGCUUUCCCAAAUCUUGAAGAGCUACACCUAGCAAACUUACCACGAGGGACAGCUACUAGGGGAGGAUGGCAAAAGAACUGAAGCACCAGACCACAACUCCUCGCCAGACCCCAGAAGAAAUGCACGAUAAUAGAAUUAAAAACCAAUUUCUUGUAUUAACGAUUCUUGGCAAGGAAGGUUUUCCUCUCAGGCACUGUAAGGACCAGUGAACUGCAAAAAGGACUUGCAAAAUAAUGGAGACCCUGCAGUGACCGAAGGGGAAGGUGUCAGGGAAGAGAAGAACCUCACCAUCUCCAGAUCACUUCCAUCCCCAGGAGCCCCGCGGCCGCAGCACGUUCAUCUGCCCCGCUGCAAGCCAAAGCUGAGAGCAGCAUCUCUGCACCGAGCAGGGGAUUUGGCUCGUCGUCUGCCUCCCUGCUUUUCUCACUAACAUCCGUGAAUCCUGCGCCUGAACUCGGAAGCGACUGUCUCGAGCUGCGGAUUAGCAGCGUUCAGGAGAAAAAGGAGUCGCAGUUGCAGAUCCCAGAGAAACUCAGUGUAGGACAAAAAAGCUGCCACAAUGGUUGUAUAAAUGCCUUCCUGCUGCAGAUUUCAAAGCAUGAGUAAUAGCAAAGGCCAACAAUAAUCCCAGGCUGGUUUGAAUUGCCUUUUUUUCCCCCUUGUUUUUUUUCUAGCUCUCCACAGCAUGUGCCACGGACUCAACAGCUUACACAGCGACGCGCGGAGCAGACACCAGAAGCAGCCCGCAGCAACGGGCGAGCUCUUCUGCAGAGCCAUGAAUGCAGCAGGGGCCGAGCAUCUGACACUAUUUCCUCCCAGCCCUCUCCAGCCUCUGCUGGGAGCGCCCAGGGGCACGCACAGGAUGCCAGUGGGUGUGAGAAAGGGCCCUACGGAUGGGCAGCCCAAAGCCCUGACCGGUGCAGUCGUGUGUCACCCUUCAGCACCGAUGCCAGGCUUCGGGCAGGCUCCUUUUUGGCUGGGUUUUUCCAUGUUUACUCUAGUUACAGUACAAUAUUUACAAAGAGAGAGUUACACAAGUGAUUUUAAAGAGGCAGGGCUGGGACACAGCCUAUUGUUAGGGCUGCACUUUCCACCACGGCACCCUGGUUUGAUUUGUUUCUGACACUUCAGCCACUCGGUCUGAAAUUCCCCAUGCCGUUGGGAGGCUUCCCGAGCUGUUCUGCAGAGCCUUUGGAAAAUGCGAUCACGCGAUCGUGGACAAUCACACGGCAUGGAGAGCUCUAUGCACACACGUGGAGCAAGCUGGCUUCGGUGCACACCGGCACCAAAAUUUUGGUGUUUCCUCACUGUGAGCAGGUUGUUAAAGAAAUUACUUCCUCAGAAAGUAAAUCUAAAUCUAAAGCAGAGCCUGCAGGACUCUGACCCUGGAAGGAAGCAGCGUUUCUGAGCCACGAAGCAUCUCCUAUCUUCACUCCAGCACCAGGCUCUCCUCUCUGAGCAGCAGCCACUAGAGGGGGUGACACCGGACACCUUGUCUGCGACUGUCUCCACUUAUCUGCUGGCACCAGGGACAAGAGACAGAGCUGGGGGAGAGCCAGACCUUGGGAUCCUUCACACUCACUGCCCAUCCCAACACCUCCCUCCUGUGCGGGUCUCUGCCACCCGUAAGCCCUCUGCCACCCCAGUCCAUCCCAUUGCCUCUUUCUACCUCCACCAGGUAGGCACAGGGAAAACCUCGCUCAGCUCCUGAAACCCUGGGCUGGAGCCUUUAGAGAAGGUCCUCAGACGUUUUAGCUGCACAACUGAAAUCCACGGCACAGGAGCUUGGAAGGAGCACGUGGGGCUGGGCAGGAGCUGCUGCCCCCAGGUCUCCAUCCCCCCUGCAGGUCCCUCUGCAAGGGCCAGGGAAGGCAACGAAGCAGAGCAAGCUCACACACAUGCAGUGCAUGCACACGAAGCAUACAGGAACCUUGCAGGGAAAAGAAAGGGGAAAAAAAAUAUAAAACCACCCACAAAACCUAGGGACCUACAAAUCAAAAGCAAUGGCCAGCAACAGAACUGGGCUCUGCCCCAGCUGUCUUAUCCACAACAACUCCCAGGGAAGGAGGUUUCAUACCCUCCCUAGGUGGUCUUGCAACAGUUUCAUGAUGAUAACAGGAAGUUUUUUCAAUAUCCAGCCUCAAUCAUCCUGGCAAAUUAGCAAAUCAGUAAAUUAAGCUGCCACGGGAAUCUAGGACUUUAAUAACCACUAUUACACGCUGGAAGCCUGCUGGAUUGCACAACAGUUUUCUUUUUGUUACACUGAACAAAAUUAGUUCUUUCAACCUCUUCUCACGUUCCUUAAUCUUUUCUUGUUGCUUCCUUCUGGACACCUUCCAGCACGCCUGCAUCCGCCUCGGAGCAGGACACCCACAACUGGAUUUGAUGACACCGACAAGGUCUCCGCAGCACCACGCAUGACCACAGGCUUAGACAACAGAAGCCAUCAGAUGAACCCAGAAGUGCAACUUUAUCUAGUCUGCUACAUGAAGUCAAAGAUUUAGCAAGUAAUGAAUCAUAACUGCUUUCUGCCAUCAUCAGCACAAGAAGAAAAGUAUAUCAGGGUACAGCUCAUUUCACAUUGCUGUUUAACUUCCAUAUUGUUGAAGAGACCCAGCUCCAUUCCUGAAUUACUUUGAAUUAUUACAGUAUGUAAAAGUCAAAGCAGAUUUCUCAUUAACAUCAAGGAUCUUAAGUUAUUCAAUUUAAAAAAUGCUAAAGUCUAAUUUUCAUAGAUCACAUCAAGUUGUCACCCCAGCUCUGCUCUAGAUCCCUCCCCAAAAGAGCUCAAUAAGGACUGGUGGAGUCUCCGGCAGGAUGAGCACUCACUCAGCACGAAAGGGACUGGGGGAACUGUUGGUACAGAAUUUCUGUAGCUGAAUAAACCCAACCUCUGAGAAAGCAUUCUGGUGAUUUAACAAACAGACACUUUAAAAACCCAUUUUAAUUGGAAAAACCAUUUUUCCAUUAUUUUCUUUUCAGUGUUUACAACCCUACAAACCAUUAUUUUCCUAAACACUUUUCAGCUGCAGCUUUUCCGUGACAUGCACAAGAACCUCACUCAGGCCCAGCACGUGUAUCCUCUACAUGUAACACUGGGGCACGCUUUUGGCAUCAAGGGUCCUGAUAACCCCCAAGUCUUUGGAAACCAACUCACAAGAAGGAUUUUUCCCCCUUCUCUUUCCAGUGUGUUUGAUCUUCUUGUUAUUUUGCCCGAUUCCACUACACAAGCAGUACUGGAACUUGUUAGGUUCCAAUUUUUUAUUUUUAUUUUUUAAAUAGCCUGUGUGUACAAACAGCUUUCCGCAUUGCGUAUUAAUAAACAACGUUGUGCAAACCUCUCAGCCACAAACCAAGGGUUAAUGCAGUUCCCAGGCAGCUUUUCCCCGGUUCCUGAGAGCAGGGUAAGGCUGCUGAAUACCUGCAGCUCCUGACCAGCUGCAAGUAACAACACUUCUAUUUGCAACAAGUUCAGAAAACCGCUUUUACUAACCACAAAAUGGCUCAGUAAUGAGAAGGCAAUGAGCACCUGAAAGACUUCUGGCUACAAAAAAGUCAGCACUAAAUAAAGCAGAGACAGGACGGGGCAGGAGAUGCACUUUUCAUGAUUGCUUUUUCACUGGCCAGCUCCCUACUCAACCUAGAUGUGUGAAUUAAGCUCUAUUUAUAAGCCUUGCACCAUAUUUUUUUUUAAUGGCCUUAAUAUAGUGCAGUUGUUAUUUUGUUUCUGUUGAACGUAGCAACAGGAAACCGUGUCAGUCCUGCAGCAAACUUUCCAUUCCCCUGACACUCCCAUUCCUGCAACAGAAAAGCCAGAUUUCUAAAGAGGUGUUUGAUGGGGUGGGGAGGUGGAGAGGAAGAAGAGAAGAAAGCACACACAAAGUCUCCAAAUGCCUGUAAAACAUGCAAAAUGGAAGCCAAAUUCAAUGUUUCUUUACUUUUUUUCUUACUUUUUUUUUUCCUUGUUUGAGAGGCAAGCAGCUGAAAAUAAACUGAUAUAAUAAGAGGACAGGGAGUGUCCUAAUUCGUACCUUCUAAAUAUAUCUUACUGUACGGCACCUAAGCAUUA
Anas platyrhynchos (mallard) is the source of this 8437-nucleotide non-coding RNA. The record is from RefSeq and is a predicted model, not a curated record. NCBI's taxonomy places the organism in Eukaryota, Metazoa, Chordata, Aves, Anseriformes, Anatidae.